Molecule: long non-coding RNA, 207 nt
Filed under: Elaeis guineensis (African oil palm)
Lineage: Eukaryota; Viridiplantae; Streptophyta; Magnoliopsida; Arecales; Arecaceae
Description: long non-coding RNA (EGUI_LNC055679)
Source: RNAcentral
GAUGGGAUCUAUCGAUCUUGAUAGAAGAAAGUAGUCUUAUGAAAUUUGAGAAGUUGAGUUCAUAAGUCUAUGGUCAUAGUAGUGUGAUUAAUGAAAAAAAAUUCAUUUAGAAUCACUAAUGGACUUGAGCUGGUCAGAUCUAUCAUAUGAUGAUGAUGAGUUUGAUGAUUUAUCCAUAACCUGCCAUCUAGUCGGGAUUCACGAUAG